AACGAACGCUGGCGGCAGGCCUAACACAUGCAAGUCGAACGAAGCCUUCGGGCUUAGUGGCGGACGGGUGAGUAACACGUGGGAACGUACCUUUUGGUUCGGAAUAACGCAGAGAAAUUUGCGCUAAUACCGGAUGAGCCCUUCGGGGGAAAGAUUUAUCGCCGAAAGAUCGGCCCGCGUUGGAUUAGGUAGUUGGUGUGGUAAAGGCGCACCAAGCCUACGAUCUAUAGCUGGUCUGAGAGGAUGAUCAGCCACACUGGGACUGAGACACGGCCCAGACUCCUACGGGAGGCAGCAGUGGGGAAUCUUGCGCAAUGGGCGAAAGCCUGACGCAGCCAUGCCGCGUGAAUGAUGAAGGUCUUAGGAUUGUAAAAUUCCUUUACCAGGGACGAUAAUGACGGUACCUGGAGAAAAAGCCCCGGCUAACUUCGUGCCAGCAGCCGCGGUAA
This 449-nucleotide ribosomal RNA is filed under the name uncultured bacterium. RNAcentral's name for it is "partial 16S ribosomal RNA". It matches the Rfam family "Bacterial small subunit ribosomal RNA", at positions 29 to 523 of the family's 1533-position model. The record is from RNAcentral.